CGAGGGGAGUGAAAAAGAACCUGAAACCGUGUACGUACAAGCAGUGGGAGCACAGAGCAAUCUGUGUGACUGCGUACCUUUUGUAUAAUGGGUCAGCGACUUAUAUUCUGUAGCAAGGUUAACCGAAUAGGGGAGCCGAAGGGAAACCGAGUCUUAACUGGGCGUUAAGUUGCAGGGUAUAGACCCGAAACCCGGUGAUCUAGCCAUGGGCAGGUUGAAGGUUGGGUAACACUAACUGGAGGACCGAACCGACUAAUGUUGAAAAAUUAGCGGAUGACUUGUGGCUGGGGGUGAAAGGCCAAUCAAACCGGGAGAUAGCUGGUUCUCCCCGAAAGCUAUUUAGGUAGCGCCUCGUGAAUUCAUCUCCGGGGGUAGAGCACUGUUUCGGCAAGGGGGUCAUCCCGACUUACCAACCCGAUGCAAACUGCGAAUACCGGAGAAUGUUAUCACGGGAGACACACGGCGGGUGCUAACGUCCGUCGUGAAGAGGGAAACAACCCAGACCGCCAGCUAAGGUCCCAAAGUCAUGGUUAAGUGGGAAACGAUGUGGGAAGGCCCAGACAGCCAGGAUGUUGGCUUAGAAGCAGCCAUCAUUUAAAGAAAGCGUAAUAGCUCACUGGUCGAGUCGGCCUGCGCGGAAGAUGUAACGGGGCUAAACCAUGCACCGAAGCUGCGGCAGCGACACUGUGUGUUGUUGGGUAGGGGAGCGUUCUGUAAGCCUGUGAAGGUGUGCUGUGAGGCAUGCUGGAGGUAUCAGAAGUGCGAAUGCUGACAUAAGUAACGAUAAAGCGGGUGAAAAGCCCGCUCGCCGGAAGACCAAGGGUUCCUGUCCAACGUUAAUCGGGGCAGGGUGAGUCGACCCCUAAGGCGAGGCCGAAAGGCGUAGUCGAUGGGAAACAGGUUAAUAUUCCUGUACUUGGUGUUACUGCGAAGGGGGGACGGAGAAGGCUAUGUUGGCCGGGCGACGGUUGUCCCGGUUUAAGCGUGUAGGCUGGUUUUCCAGGCAAAUCCGGAAAAUCAAGGCUGAGGCGUGAUGACGAGGCACUACGGUGCUGAAGCAACAAAUGCCCUGCUUCCAGGAAAAGCCUCUAAGCAUCAGGUAACAUCAAAUCGUACCCCAAACCGACACAGGUGGUCAGGUAGAGAAUACCAAGGCGCUUGAGAGAACUCGGGUGAAGGAACUAGGCAAAAUGGUGCCGUAACUUCGGGAGAAGGCACGCUGAUAUGUAGGUGAAGUCCCUCGCGGAUGGAGCUGAAAUCAGUCGAAGAUACCAGCUGGCUGCAACUGUUUAUUAAAAACACAGCACUGUGCAAACACGAAAGUGGACGUAUACGGUGUGACGCCUGCCCGGUGCCGGAAGGUUAAUUGAUGGGGUCAGCGCAAGCGAAGCUCUUGAUCGAAGCCCCGGUAAACGGCGGCCGUAACUAUAACGGUCCUAAGGUAGCGAAAUUCCUUGUCGGGUAAGUUCCGACCUGCACGAAUGGCGUAAUGAUGGCCAGGCUGUCUCCACCCGAGACUCAGUGAAAUUGAACUCGCUGUGAAGAUGCAGUGUACCCGCGGCAAGACGGAAAGACCCCGUGAACCUUUACUAUAGCUUGACACUGAACAUUGAGCCUUGAUGUGUAGGAUAGGUGGGAGGCUUUGAAGUGUGGACGCCAGUCUGCAUGGAGCCGACCUUGAAAUACCACCCUUUAAUGUUUGAUGUUCUAACGUGGACCCGUGAUCCGGGUUGCGGACAGUGUCUGGUGGGUAGUUUGACUGGGGCGGUCUCCUCCUAAAGAGUAACGGAGGAGCACGAAGGUUGGCUAAUCCUGGUCGGACAUCAGGAGGUUAGUGCAAUGGCAUAAGCCAGCUUGACUGCGAGCGUGACGGCGCGAGCAGGUGCGAAAGCAGGUCAUAGUGAUCCGGUGGUUCUGAAUGGAAGGGCCAUCGCUCAACGGAUAAAAGGUACUCCGGGGAUAACAGGCUGAUACCGCCCAAGAGUUCAUAUCGACGGCGGUGUUUGGCACCUCGAUGUCGGCUCAUCACAUCCUGGGGCUGAAGUAGGUCCCAAGGGUAUGGCUGUUCGCCAUUUAAAGUGGUACGCGAGCUGGGUUUAGAACGUCGUGAGACAGUUCGGUCCCUAUCUGCCGUGGGCGCUGGAGAACUGAGGGGGGCUGCUCCUAGUACGAGAGGACCGGAGUGGACGCAUCACUGGUGUUCGGGUUGUCAUGCCAAUGGCACUGCCCGGUAGCUAAAUGCGGAAGAGAUAAGUGCUGAAAGCAUCUAAGCACGAAACUUGCCCCGAGAUGAGUUCUCCCUGACCCUUUAAGGGUCCUGAAGGAACGUUGAAGACGACGACGUUGAUAGGCCGGGUGUGUAAGCGCAGCGAUGCGUUGAGCUAACCGGUACUAAUGAACCGUGAGGCUUAACCUUACAACGCCGAAGGUGUUU
Molecule: ribosomal RNA, 2434 nt
Filed under: Escherichia coli
Lineage: Bacteria; Pseudomonadati; Pseudomonadota; Gammaproteobacteria; Enterobacterales; Enterobacteriaceae
Description: partial 23S ribosomal RNA
Rfam family: Bacterial large subunit ribosomal RNA
Source: RNAcentral